AGCGCGGUGCAAGUAACGGUAACUGGACAGCCUCAUAAGCUGAUCGAUGCGGGUUCGAUUCCUGUCUGCGCAAC
Molecule: transfer RNA, 74 nt
Filed under: Microbacterium phage Zooman
Lineage: Duplodnaviria; Heunggongvirae; Uroviricota; Caudoviricetes
Description: tRNA-Met
Rfam family: tRNA
About the family: Transfer RNA (tRNA) molecules are approximately 80 nucleotides in length.
Source: RNAcentral